RNAcentral lists this ribosomal RNA (478 nucleotides) under uncultured bacterium. RNAcentral's name for it is "bacterial SSU rRNA". It matches the Rfam family "Bacterial small subunit ribosomal RNA", at positions 28 to 507 of the family's 1533-position model. The record is from RNAcentral.
GAUGAACGCUAGCGGCAGGCCUAACACAUGCAAGUCGAGGGGUAGAACACUUCGGUGUUUGAGACCGGCGCACGGGUGCGUAACGCGUAUGCAAUCUACCUUGUACAGGGGAAUAGCCCAGAGAAAUUUGGAUUAAUGCCCCAUAGUAUAUAACCUUCGCAUGUUGGUUAUAUUAAAGUUCCAACGGUACAAGAUGAGCAUGCGUCCCAUUAGUUAGUUGGUAAGGUAACGGCUUACCAAGACGAUGAUGGGUAGGGGUCCUGAGAGGGAGAUCCCCCACACUGGUACUGAGACACGGACCAGACUCCUACGGGUGGCAGCAGUGAGGAAUAUUGGUCAAUGGGCGCAAGCCUGAACCAGCCAUGCCGCGUGCAGGAAGACGGUCCUAUGGAUUGUAAACUGCUUUUAUACAGGAAGAAACAACUCUACGUGUAGAGUCUUGACGGUACUGUAGGAAUAAGGAUCGGCUAACUCCGUG